RNAcentral lists this long non-coding RNA (253 nucleotides) under Eucalyptus grandis. RNAcentral describes it as "long non-coding RNA (EGRA_LNC001372)". Lineage: Eukaryota; Viridiplantae; Streptophyta; Magnoliopsida; Myrtales; Myrtaceae. The record is from RNAcentral.
UCCAAUGGCCGAACGCUCUUCAGUGGCUGAAUCCUUUCUCAGCGCAGCCCUCUAAUGGCCGACGACGAACCAGCCAGCUCCCUUCCUCUCUCCCUCCCUCUCUCUCUCUCUCUCUCUCUGUGAAAUCUCCCUUUCGUUGCAGCCAAGCUCCUCUCCUGUCAUGACCGAACUCUCUCUCCCAGCUCUCCUUCCGUGAGCGAGCGUUCCCCACCCUCUCACGCCUCACGCACUCUCCUCGCUCCCUCGCUCUUCG